AUACCUUUCUCGGCCUUUUGGCUAAGAUCAAGUGUAGUAUCUGUUCUUAUCAGUUUAAUAUCUGAUACGAGGGUCAUCGACCCUCACGAUAUUAAUCUAAUUUCUCUUUGUGUGGUGGUCCGGAUCGGCAGCUUGCUGUCGUAGGUCUGCCCGUGUCGCCUCGGUAUCGCACUGUCUCCAAGGAAGGCGCAACCCUC
Marchantia polymorpha subsp. polymorpha is the source of this 197-nucleotide small nuclear RNA. It matches the Rfam family "U2 spliceosomal RNA". Rfam says of the family: U2 is a small nuclear RNA (snRNA) component of the spliceosome (involved in pre-mRNA splicing). Complementary binding between U2 snRNA (in an area lying towards the 5' end but 3' to hairpin I) and the branchpoint sequence (BPS) of the intron results the bulging out of an unpaired adenosine, on the BPS, which initiates a nucleophilic attack at the intronic 5' splice site, thus starting the first of two transesterification reactions that mediate splicing. The record is from Rfam. NCBI's taxonomy places the organism in Eukaryota, Viridiplantae, Streptophyta, Marchantiopsida, Marchantiales, Marchantiaceae.